GCCGGAGCAACCCCACCUCCGGUUUAGACUUUCCUUGCAGGUCCCGGCAGCGACCGCGGCUUCCCCGACUCCAGCUUCUCCGGCGCAAGCGGAUUUUUGCACCAACAGUACCCGAUGGUCGGAUAGGUCGAAUGUGUAGAACAACAUCCUUAGAACCCAUGCAGAUAUAGUUUCCAUAUAAUUCAUCCCCUUGACCAAAAUGCUUAUAGAACACCUCAAAGUUCAACCGUCAACUCUGAUCAGGUUGUCUAUAUUGUAUUUCAAAAUAUCAAAUCUAUCUGAUAGAUUACUCUGGCCA
RNAcentral lists this long non-coding RNA (298 nucleotides) under Elaeis guineensis (African oil palm). RNAcentral's name for it is "long non-coding RNA (EGUI_LNC035575)". The record is from RNAcentral. Lineage: Eukaryota; Viridiplantae; Streptophyta; Magnoliopsida; Arecales; Arecaceae.